Molecule: ribosomal RNA, 493 nt
Filed under: uncultured bacterium
Lineage: Bacteria
Description: bacterial SSU rRNA
Rfam family: Bacterial small subunit ribosomal RNA
Source: RNAcentral
AAUCAACGCUGGCGGCGUGCCUAACACAUGCAAGUCGAACGAGAAAGUGACUUCGGUCACUGGAUAGUGGCGUCCGGGUGAGUAACACGUGGGUAAUCUACCCUCGGGUGGGGAAUAACGUCUCGAAAGAGACGCUAAUACCGCAUAAUGCAGCGGCACCUAAUGGUGAAUAGUUGUUAAAGCGGGGGAUCGCAAGACCUCGCGCCUGAAGAGGAGCCUGCGGCAGAUUAGCUAGUUGGUGAGGUAAUGGCUCACCAAGGCUUCGAUCUGUAGCUGGUCUGAGAGGACGGCCAGCCACACUGGCACUGACACACGGGCCAGACUCCUACGGGAGGCAGCAGUGGGGAAUUUUGGGCAAUGGACGAAAGUCUGACCCAGCAACGCCGCGUGAGGGAGGGAAAUCCUUCGGGAUGUAAACCUCGCAAGCAAGGGAAGAAUGCUUGAGACCUAACACGUCUCAAGAGGGACGGUACCUUGCGUAAGCCACGGCUAA